RNAcentral lists this non-coding RNA (92 nucleotides) under Streptomyces toyocaensis. RNAcentral's name for it is "sodF sRNA". It matches the Rfam family "sodF sRNA". Rfam says of the family: Identified in Streptomyces coelicolor. It is produced from sodF mRNA by cleavage of about 90 nucleotides from its 3'UTR. The record is from Rfam by way of RNAcentral. Lineage: Bacteria; Bacillati; Actinomycetota; Actinomycetes; Kitasatosporales; Streptomycetaceae.
AAGAACCCUGCCUCGUGGUCGUCUUCUCACCGUUCACCCGGCAGGCGGACAGAGUGAGGCCCCCGCGGGGACAUGACCCGCGGGGGCUUCCG